GGGGUUGUGGCUCAGAGGUAGAGCACUCACCUAGUGCAUGUGAGGCUCUGGAUUCGAUUCUCAGCACCACA
This 71-nucleotide transfer RNA is filed under the name Marmota monax (woodchuck). Its description in RNAcentral is "tRNA.Thr". The record is from RNAcentral. Lineage: Eukaryota; Metazoa; Chordata; Mammalia; Rodentia; Sciuridae.